This 253-nucleotide ribosomal RNA is filed under the name uncultured bacterium. Its description in RNAcentral is "partial 16S ribosomal RNA". It matches the Rfam family "Bacterial small subunit ribosomal RNA", at positions 524 to 776 of the family's 1533-position model. The record is from RNAcentral.
UACGUAGGGUGCGAGCGUUGUCCGGAAUUAUUGGGCGUAAAGGGCUCGUAGGCGGUCUGUUGCGUCAGGAGUGAAAACUCGGGGCUUAACCCCGAGCCUGCUUCUGAUACGGGCAGACUAGAGGUAUGCAGGGGAGAACGGAAUUCCUGGUGUAGUGGUGAAAUGCGCAGAUAUCAGGAGGAACACCGGUGGCGAAGGCGGCAUCCUGGACCGGCAUUGACGCUGAGGAGCGAAAGCCAGGGGAGCAAACGGG